CCUACGGGUGGCAGCAGUGGGGAAUAUUGGACAAUGGGCGAAAGCCUGAUCCAGCCAUGCCGCGUGUGUGAAGAAGGCCUUCGGGUUGUAAAGCACUUUCAGUGGGGAAGAAAGCCUUGGGGCUAAUACCCUCGAGGAAGGACAUCACCCACAGAAGAAGCACCGGCUAACUCCGUGCCAGCAGCCGCGGUAAUACGGAGGGUGCGAGCGUUAAUCGGAAUUACUGGGCGUAAAGCGCGCGUAGGCGGUCUGAUAAGCCGGUUGUGAAAGCCCCGGGCUCAACCUGGGAACGGCAUCCGGAACUGUCAGGCUAGAGUGCAGGAGAGGAAGGUAGAAUUCCCGGUGUAGCGGUGAAAUGCGUAGAGAUCGGGAGGAAUACCAGUGGCGAAGGCGACCUUCUGGACUGACACUGACGCUGAGGUGCGAAAGCGUGGGUAGCAAACAGGAUUAGAUACCCGAGUAGUC
RNAcentral lists this ribosomal RNA (465 nucleotides) under Vreelandella stevensii. Its description in RNAcentral is "partial 16S ribosomal RNA". It matches the Rfam family "Bacterial small subunit ribosomal RNA", at positions 338 to 795 of the family's 1533-position model. The record is from RNAcentral. Lineage: Bacteria; Pseudomonadati; Pseudomonadota; Gammaproteobacteria; Oceanospirillales; Halomonadaceae.